Molecule: unclassified non-coding RNA, 364 nt
Filed under: uncultured bacterium
Lineage: Bacteria
Description: contains 16S-23S intergenic spacer region
Source: RNAcentral
UCCCGAUUGGCUCGGGCAGUCUUGUUUGAAAAAUACAACAAACAACAAGGGUUGCGCUCGUUGCGGGACUUAACCCAACAUCUCACGACACGAGCUGACGACGGCCAUGCAACACCUGUCACUGGGUUCCCGAAGGCACAGCCCUGUUUCUAGGGCCUUCCCAGGAUGUCAAGGCCAGGUAAGGUUCUUCGCGUAGCAUCGAAUUAAACCACAUGCUCCACUGCUUGUGCGGGUCCCCGUCAAUUCCUUUGAGUUUUAGCCUUGCGGCCGUACUCCCCAGGCGGGAUGCUUAACGCGUUAGCUUCGCAACGCAAAGGGUCGAUACUUCACACUACUAGCAUCCAUCGUUUACGGCGUGGACUAC